RNAcentral lists this long non-coding RNA (255 nucleotides) under Elaeis guineensis (African oil palm). Its description in RNAcentral is "long non-coding RNA (EGUI_LNC052783)". The record is from RNAcentral. Lineage: Eukaryota; Viridiplantae; Streptophyta; Magnoliopsida; Arecales; Arecaceae.
GGGGUAUACGCAAAAACCUGAAUUUUAGGUUUUUGGUUCUAAGGGUUUGGGAGGAGGAAAUAAAUUAGAAUAAAAUUAUUUUCUUCUUUAUCUUUCUUCUACCUCUUCAUCUCCUCUAGAAGUCCAUCUUCAAUCUCUAGAAAGAUUUCAUAGAUUUAUAGAAAAGAUUCAGAUUAGUCAAGAAGAAAGUCUUCGCGUGAGCUAACACUCCCGAGAAGAUCGAUUAGAUCGGGGCUUCGAGUGGAUUUCUCGUAG